Amaranthus tricolor (Joseph's coat) is the source of this 1621-nucleotide long non-coding RNA. RefSeq lists it as uncharacterized. The record is from RefSeq and is a predicted model, not a curated record. NCBI's taxonomy places the organism in Eukaryota, Viridiplantae, Streptophyta, Magnoliopsida, Caryophyllales, Amaranthaceae. The transcript has 2 exons.
AUCUCACCCAAAACAGCGUAUAAUAUCUCGCUCUCACCCAAACCACGACAUUAGUAUCUCCCUCACACCCAAACAGUGCCCGUAUCCCUCACCCAAAACUUUCUGCAUAGCCAACCGCCGCACAGCCCCAACAUAAAGUGCCCAACGACCAUGGUGGUUGUAAGAGUGUCCUCUUUGCUUCACACAAUAGCCAAAUCAGGCACAUAAUCGAGAUGGGACGUUGCUCUUAAAGACUUCCUCCAACACAUCCCAUAAGGUUGGCUCUUUCUCUCAACUUUUCAGUGUUCUACUUUGAGAUCCUCAAUUCUGCUGAUAAAGCUUGUAGCAUGGCUAAACAGGUAAAAUAUUUCUGUUUCAUUCUAAAGUUUUUAUGGUUGAAGUAUUUUUCAUUUUUGGUAAUGAUAAUAACCCCACAUGAACUUGUUUUCGUUUCACCCCCCACUUAUCUUAAUGUGGAUGAUACUAUUGAGUGUAGCUCUUAUAUAUUGAUGCUAGAAGGAUUGUGCUUUCUAUUGUAGAUUUGUACCUCUAAAUAAUGUUUAUGGAGUUUUUGCAGUUUGCAUUGGAUUCUAUGUAGGAGCUUGCCAAAGUUUUUGAUUUUAUUAUUUGAUCACAAAAGAUGGACUUGUUAUCAUUGAUGCUAUUUAUAUUUGUCUACUACUCUUGUAGUCCUAUAUUAAGUGGUGAAGUAGGUAAAUAUUUUGCAGAGUUGAAUUAGUGAUACUGAGUGUAGAAAGUUUCCCUUUGAGGCCUUCGUGGAUUAAGUGUAAAACGGAGGAAAUAGUGAGUUAGAAAAUUUACGGAAAUUUUAUAGACUUUGAUUGAUAGUGAAAGAGGAGGAUAAAGUAUAGUAAUCUUUUAUCCUUCUAGAAAAUCUUGGCUUGCUCAUUUUUCAUCCCACCAAUGCCAAUCAUUACUACUAUCUUCACCACCUCCAUCCUCAUACCCACCCCCAAGGUGUAGAAAAUAAGAAACAAAGUAACCCACAAAAAGUACCCCAAGGUGUAGAGAAGAACAGGGAUUUGAUGCACUUGGACGCAAAUCUACAGCCUAUUUCGGCUAGAAAGAUGUGGAGUAUUUUGGACUGUUCUGUCGUCAAGCUUAGAAUCGAUCUUAAGGGGUAUAGUUUAAUUUGUUCAUGUGGCAUUCAUGUGCGCUAAAACUUUUGUGAUUUCUUCGAGUUUGCUAUCUGCUAUUUAUCUUCACAUUCUUGUACAGCUGGUAUAUUGUACAGCUGGUAUGUGUUUCGGACUUUGAUUGUGAUGCAUUGGUGUUCUGCUGUCAUCCGCUUGCUGUUAAUGCCUUCUGCUCUGCUGCUGCUUCCAUCUGACGCAGCUGCUACCGUAGCUGCUGCUGCUGUUGAUGGUGCUGUCAUUGCUACUGCUGCCGUUGAUGUUACUGCUGCUGCCGUUGCUGCUGUGUGCCAUCUGAAGCUGAUGCGUGCGUGUACUAAUGUUCUAAGGCUUGGUUGAUUCCUCUAGUUAGACAUGGGUGGAGUGUACUAAUGUUCUAAGAAGCUGUGUACUAAUGUUCUUGCUUUCUGUUUUUUUCAAAGACAUACCUUAGAAUAUCAAAUUCAAAAAAUUAAUACAGCAGAAUCCAAAUAGGAGGACCAAGGCCA